UGGGGUAUAUUGCACAAUGGGGGAAACCCUGAUGCAGCGACGCCGCGUGAACGAAGAAGGUAUUCGUAUCGUAAAGUUCUGUCCUAUGGGAAGAUAAUGACAGUACCAUAGAAGAAAGCUCCGGCUAAAUACGUGCCAGCAGCCGCGGUAAUACGUAUGGAGCGAGCGUUGUCCGGAAUUAUUGGGCGUAAAGGGUACGCAGGCGGUUUAAUAAGUCGAAUGUUAAAGAUCGGGGCUCAACCCCGUAAAGCAUUGGAAACUGAUAAACUUGAGUAGUGGAGAGGAAAGUGGAAUUCCUAGUGUAGUGGUGAAAUACGUAGAUAUUAGGAGGAGUACCAGUAGCGAAGGCGACUUUCUGGACACAAACUGACGCUGAGGUACGAAAGCGUGGGGAGCAAACAGG
RNAcentral lists this ribosomal RNA (403 nucleotides) under bacterium. Its description in RNAcentral is "partial 16S ribosomal RNA". It matches the Rfam family "Bacterial small subunit ribosomal RNA", at positions 355 to 776 of the family's 1533-position model. The record is from RNAcentral.